GCAGACGUGAAAACAGCCUACACGCUAAUGCAAAACCAGUAAAAAAAUCCGCAGAUGUGGUUGCUUUUACUUAGUUUAAUUUGCAUAAAAAAUGGUCGAAGGGUGCUGCGCGGUCGACCGCACAAACAAACAACGAUGAAAACCAAACUUUUUUUUAUAUAACACGAGGAAAGAUUCAGCGGCGAUGGAUAAAGACUGUCAGCCCUCCGUGUAACCGCGGAUUUUCAACGAACACUUUUUACAUGCCUUGAUAGGGUGGGCUCGUGGUGUGGAUGGAGCCAAGCAGGACCACCUCCUUGGUGACUGACCCUGGCUGCUUGGGGCAGGCGAACAGGUGGGACAGGACCCCCCAAUACUCAGUCCUGGACCCCCAGUUGGGAGAAGAUACUCGUCUUCCCUGAUGUGUAUUUUCAGAUGUGCGCCUCUCUCUGUCUGACUCCCGCAUGCUCCGAUAGACAGAGUGAAGCCCUGCACACCUCCUCCCCCCGUGAAUAUCCUUCCACACCUUGUUGAUGGGACCGGAACUUUCCCGUGUUUCGCCGGGGUGGGCCCUGCCUUGACUCAUGGGACUGAGUGAGAGGGGUCGUGACCCGAGCUAUGAAGUGCUUCCUGUUUCUGUUCAAGGGGUCUUCAGAGGCCUGCCGUGAUCACAGGAGAAGCAGAGCGAGUGUUCGUCUGUGGGUGUGGGUCGACUCUGGUCAGGGUUCAUCCACGAGGCACGGCAGUGGGGUGAGGACUGGAUGACAUCUAGAGGAUCGUCAUUGCACCAAAGCCUGUCUUAUUCUUCAUCCUCUUCUUCCCUCCUCCCCGCUACUAGAGGGGAUCUGGAAGACAGACCUCCAGCCUACUUUGAUCAGGAUUCAAUUAAAGGUCCCUGAGGGAGAAGAGAUGGAGCUGGGAAGCUCUGAUGGGAAAGUGGGCCAGCUCUCUUAGCCCUCCACUGGAGAGCUCCAUAAAAGCAAGCGGAGAAGCCCAGCAGCAGAGCCAGUCUUGGGCCAAGCUCAUCAAGCACAUCAGCGAAACACACAACGAUGAUGACUUCAUUCAGCCGAAAUAGAGCUUCCAUCCAUCAUCAGCUGGGAAAAGCUUAUUAUGAAACUCAGGAUUUCCUGAACUUGGGGAUUUUUCAGUGUAUUCUGUAUUCAUGUUGUGUGAUUUAGCCAUUGUUUUUAAGGUUAUAUUUUUGCUUCUAAAAGAAACGUGGAGCUGCUGUUAAGUUCACAAAAAGCAGAAAUGCUGCAGCACCUUUGCAACAAGAAAUGCAGAAGUAGUCUUUUGCAACUCUCAGUUGGUUAAGAGUAACCAACUGAGGUCAUUGUAACAAAUGAAUGCUUCGAUCUAAACGUUCCCAUUGUAUGGGUGAUUAUAAAUACUUUCCUAACACACUGUAUAGUAAAGCUACUGAUGGUCAAUCACUGGCGUAUAACUAUGGUGGACAUCCUUCUUGCACAGCUGCUUCUCUAGAUUAAAACUUUUUUUUUCCAUUGUAACAUGUGUAAUUAAGAUCACACAUACGAACACCCCCUUGUUGAAUACAGCAACCAUAUUGGAAGAGUUUCACUUCUCUACAGGUGAACACAAACACCUUGAUGGUGGUGAUCUAAGAGCCAUCUGCUGUUAUCUGGAGAAUGUUCUCUGCACACUUCAUGGACAUAUAUGUUCCACCACUUUGACUUCUCUGCUAUUUUUAGCACUGACCCUCCACUAAAGGUUGUGAUGAUGAUGUCACACAACCUUUUAAAAACAAUCUGACUGUUAAUCUUGUAUUGGACUUCCUGUCAAAUCCAAAAUAGGAAGAUAGGAAACAAACAAAAACAUUUUUUGUGUUUGUUUAUCAGUCAAAAUGGAUGUCAAAAUAAGAAUUUGGGACUUGUUUAACAUCACUACACUGAUAAAAAAAAAUUCCAUCAAUUUUAUUUAUACAUGUGUACCUGGAAAUAGCACCAAACUUGAACAUAAUUUGUUUUUGAUAAAGAUUUCUUUCACUCAGUA
This is a long non-coding RNA of Gambusia affinis (western mosquitofish), 1992 nucleotides long. RefSeq lists it as uncharacterized. The record is from RefSeq and is a predicted model, not a curated record. Lineage: Eukaryota; Metazoa; Chordata; Actinopteri; Cyprinodontiformes; Poeciliidae. The transcript is spliced from 6 exons.